RNAcentral lists this ribosomal RNA (351 nucleotides) under uncultured Mycosphaerellaceae. RNAcentral describes it as "SSU rRNA". It matches the Rfam family "Eukaryotic small subunit ribosomal RNA", at positions 58 to 413 of the family's 1831-position model. The record is from RNAcentral. Lineage: Eukaryota; Fungi; Ascomycota; Dothideomycetes; Mycosphaerellales; Mycosphaerellaceae.
UCUAAGUAUAAGCAACUAUACGGUGAAACUGCGAAUGGCUCAUUAAAUCAGUUAUCGUUUAUUUGAUAGUACCUUACUACAUGGAUAACCGUGGUAAUUCUAGAGCUAAUACAUGCUAAAAACCUCGACUUCGGAAGGGGUGUAUUUAUUAGAUAAAAAACCAAUGCCCUUCGGGGCUCCUUGGUGAAUCAUAAUAACUUAACGAAUCGCAUGGCCUUGCGCCGGCGAUGGUUCAUUCAAAUUUCUGCCCUAUCAACUUUCGAUGGUAGGAUAGUGGCCUACCAUGGUAUCAACGGGUAACGGGGAAUUAGGGUUCGACUCCGGAGAGGGAGCCUGAGAAACGGCUACCAC